This 813-nucleotide long non-coding RNA is filed under the name Vitis vinifera (wine grape). Its description in RNAcentral is "long non-coding RNA (VVIN_LNC000988)". The record is from RNAcentral. Lineage: Eukaryota; Viridiplantae; Streptophyta; Magnoliopsida; Vitales; Vitaceae.
CUUGUUUAGGUAAAACAAAGUAUCUUCAAUAGAAGUUUCCAUCGACAUCUUGAGUCAUCCUCCUUGAAAUUUAUUUAUUUAUUUUAUGUAUAUUUUUCUUUUUACCUGUUUCAUUUGGGUUGAUGGUUGGGGCUGGGUGAGAGAGAAGGAAGAAAGAAUAAGAUAACUCUUGUUGGCAUUCCAACACGAGGAUGCUACUUAGGACCAAUAAUCAGGCUGGGUUGAGCUAUGCAAGGUUAGUCCAGCCUGAAGUAUAUGUACUCUGUGCAUGUCUCAAGUUCAGCCCAUAGAUGUCAACCAUUCUAUUGUACAGGCUUCAGGCCAAGUUCAAGCCAUCUUGAAUAGAUAGAUAAUAGUAGAAUAGAGAAAUGAGUAUCUUAAUGCCUCAUUUUUCAUGCCAGCCUUUGCCUAGCCGAAGCCCAAAUAUGGGCAAAGCUAUGCUGAGCUCAAGCUCACUUAAAGCAAGUCAAACCCAAUUAUCAAUACUAUUACUACUAUGAGGCUCUUGUGUGGUCAUUUUGCAACCAUUCGUGGCCAUCUUGGCGACGGCUUGGACUACGCUGCCUUCACAUGCCCUCAAGGCAUGCAUUGGACAUUGUGGUGGAUGCAGUCAGGUAUUACUUUGCAGAGUGAUCUCUGGGCCAUUUGACCACACAUGGCUCUCCUACAGGCUUCUUUCAAAGCUCGAGGGGAUUGAGACAAGGGGACCCUAUUUUCCCCUACUUGUUUGUGAUUGCUAUGGAGGCCCUUAGUAGAUUGUUCUUCAAAGCUUGGGAUGAUGGUUUUAUUUCAGGAUUCAAGGUUGGGGGAAGA